GCUCAGAAACCAAUCUCCACCGGAAGCAGUAGUCUUCACUGCGGCUAACUUACCCCUUGACCAAGACAGCGGGUAGCAGAAACGUGUGUUAGCGGAGCGUUUUUGUCGUGUUCAGAAAGAGGUAAAAUGUGUAAAGUCCAGAUGCUGAGAGCGUUGGUGGAGCAGCGACUAACUGCUGCUGCUGAAGAGAUAUUUGGGCUGUUUGAAAGAACGAUAGCAGAGUACGAGGAGGAACUUUGUCGUUCAAAAGAGGAGAACGAGCGAAAACGGGAACAGCUUGACGCUAUUUUCAAGCCUCAGCUUCGGUUACAAAGAGCAGAUGUUGAGCAGCUGUCAGUAGUUAAAGAAGAGGUCCCCCCUGAGCAGCAGGAGUGUAGCUCCAGUGUGGACCAGCAGGAGCAAGAGCCCCCCUCGCACAUCAAAGAGGAACAGGAGGAACUAUUGAGCAGUCAGCAGGGAGAGCAGCUUCAAGGGCUGGAGGCGGCUGAUAUCACCGAGUUCCCAUUCACUCCUGUCCCUGUGAAGAGUGAAGAUGAUGAAGAGGAAGCUCCGUCCUCACAGCUUCAUCAAAGACAAUCUCAGCACAUGAAAACAGAAGCUGAUGGCAGGGACUGUGGAGGACCAGAACCAGCCAGGAAGUCACAUCCACAUUUACAACCAGAGACUGAAGACCAGACUGGAGACUCUUCUGAUCCUGAGACUGGUGACAGUGCUGAUUGGAAGGAGACCAGAGAACCUCAGUCAGCUUUAAACUCUCUGAAACAUGAUUCAAGACGUAACAAAAGAUUCAGCUGUUCGGAAUGUGGGAAAAGAUUUGGCUUCAAGUCACAUCUGAAGACACACAUGAGAAUCCACACAGGAGAAAAACCUUUCAGCUGUUUAGUUUGUAAAAAAUCUUUUACACUUAGUUGGAGUUUACAGAAUCACAUGAAAAUCCACACAGGAGAAAAUCUUUUCAGCUGUUCAGUUUGUAAGAAAUCUUUUAUACAGAGAGGGCAUUUACAACAACACAUGAGAAUCCACACAGGAGAGAAGCCUUUUAGCUGCUCUGAGUGUGGUAGAGCUUUCAAAGAACGUGGAAAUCUGAAAACCCACAUGAUGACUCAUUCUGGAGAAAAACCUUUCAGCUGCAGUGUUUGUAAUACAUCUUUUACACGUAGAGGGAGUUUACAGAAUCACAUGAGAAUCCACAAAGGAGAGAAGCCUUUUAGCUGCUCUGAGUGUGGUAGAGCUUUCACUGAACGUGGACACUUGAAGAAACACAUGAUGACUCAUUCUGGAGAAAAACCUUUCAGUUGCUUAUUCUGUAAUAAAUACUUUACACUGAAUGGAAAUUUACAAAAACACAUGGCCAUAGUCCACAAAGGAGAGAAAAGAUUCAGUUGCAGUGUUUGUGACAAAAGUUUUUCUCGGCAUUCUGAUGUCAAAACACAUGAAUGUGUUGGUCCGAUGGAAACAGAAGCUGAUGGAGAGGACUUUGGAGAACCAGAACCAGCGAGGAACAUGCAUCCGCAACCAGAGACUGAAGACCAGACUGGAGACUCUUCUGAACCUGAUACUGAUGACAUGGAUUAAAGUUUGUGCCUUUUAAGUCUAAGUAAAACUUCAGUAUUCAACAAAAAUCUUUAUGUAUCAACAUCUAGAUAGAAGACAUUACAUUGUGUGGUAGGAAAAAAUUACACUUAUUUUAAAUAUUUAAUUACACAUUGUUUUGUAAUGUCUGUCAUAUAAUCAAGAAAUCAGACAAAUGUAACCAUCCGAUUAUAGUGCCCACACAUAUAUUCAUUUCUUUCUAAGUAACGUAUGUUUAGCAAGAGUCACUAUUAAUUUGGGAGUUUAUUCCAUACACAUUGGGAUCAUGUUUUAAUUGUGUGGAUCAUGUUUAAGCACAAGUUAGGCCCAGCAGUCUCUCUGUGUCAGGGAGACAGGAAGUGCAGGUUGAAAGCUAUCUUUAGUUUAAACAGAGAGACAUGGGGGAUGUUGCAUAGGGAAGUUAGCCUAGCAAGGUGUUUUGUGUCAGGGAUUAACAAGUUUUCUCUUUGAAGCAAAGCUGAGAUGGACAUAUUAUGAUCUGUAUAAAACUAUAAAAACUUACUUGUUCAAUGCUAAGUUCCAAGGUAAUAUGAUCAGUGACACCAAAAUGAUUAAUGAAAAUGAGAGGACUGUUGGAAGUCAAAUUUGAUCACCAGUUCAGGUCCGUUUAAGGAUGUAAGAUGAGGUAACUGGGCGUGAAUGUGUCCACCUGACACCACCUAAAACACUGUAUAAGAAGAGUCGUAUGAAACUUAGAUUCAGUUGUCUACUCAACUAGCACCUGUGGUCAGUUGAUGUGUCCUAGACAGCUCUGUUUGUUUGUUAAAAUGUAACAAAUAAAUUUGAAUGGAGGGAAUAUCAACAGUCUCUGGAGUCUUCAUGGUGUCUUCUCAUAGAAAUAAAAUGGACAG
Etheostoma cragini (Arkansas darter) is the source of this 2444-nucleotide RNA transcript. It is a transcript of the gene named zinc finger protein 391-like, with no coding region annotated. Lineage: Eukaryota; Metazoa; Chordata; Actinopteri; Perciformes; Percidae. The record is from RefSeq and is a predicted model, not a curated record. The transcript is spliced from 3 exons.